Long non-coding RNA from Alosa alosa (allis shad), 149 nucleotides. RefSeq lists it as uncharacterized. The record is from RefSeq and is a predicted model, not a curated record. Lineage: Eukaryota; Metazoa; Chordata; Actinopteri; Clupeiformes; Clupeidae. The transcript has 3 exons.
UGUUCUUCCUACAUCUCACAAUACAAGCUUCUCUCUGUAUCUCCUAUGAGAAUGGUGUAACCAUGACCAGCAGGCCUGUAUACACUAUGUCCAACAUUCACAGUGUAGAGGGAUUGUAGUUACUGAAACACAGCUCAUUUUCUUACGGA